GGCGGAGCCGGCCGUACCUGCGGGCCCGCGAAGUAAGAGGGAGAGGCGUCCGAGGAGGACGUGGGCCCCGGAGCGGGAAGCGCCGGGUCGCGGGACAAUGGCUGGGAAGACGGAGCUCCGGCUGUCGGCGGAGAUUCGAGGGAAGCGGCGGCGUCCGCGCAGGACGGCUCUUCGGGUGGGAGGAGCCCCAGCACCUUGCCCUGUGGGGUUCACCCGGCCUCCCGCCCUGGGUUAGCCGAGGCGGCUGUGUGUGCGUCUGUGUACACAGCACAUUUUUCUUCUCGGUUUCUUUCUUUGAGAACCCAAUUUGAAGGAAUUUUGCAGAUUUUGUUGCUAUUUAAACAAAAAGAAAGCGGCCCGCGUCUGAAGGCGGCGCUGGCCUUAAGGUCAGCAGGCGACCCCACGAGGCCGGAGGAGCUCUGCAAACGAUGGGAGAGGCGGCAGCGGCGAGGUGUCCGGGAUUCAGAUCGCGCCAGGCCUGAUCCAGACCUUGGAUGGCUUGGCAGCGUGGUUGCCAGGCCGGGCGGCCCCGGAAGAGGGCUUGGCCUCCCCAGGAGAGGCUAGAGAGAGACUCCUGCUCCCGGAAGCCAGGCUGCCAUGGGCACCAGCUCCCCGGGGUUCCAGGUGCCCCUAAGCUUUCUCCACGCUCUAGGAAAGGCCUUCUAGCAAAGGACCCAGGCGAGAAGAGGUGCUGAGGUGUCCCAACUCUGGUUGAAUUGACCAGAUGAAGAAGAGAAACCUAGGUGGCUUUAGUGAAGCUGUUGACCUGCAAAUGUCAAAAGCCUUUUCUUUGAGACUCAUGGCUCUGCAAGUCUGAAGAAGAUUAGGAAGCAAGACAGGAUUGUGGCAAGGUUCAAACCUUUUGACUUUGGGUAACAACGUAAGGUUUUCUGUUAAAGGGCACUUCCUGUUGUGGCAGGGUGCACCAGGCAACCUCAGAUUGGGCCUCUGCCCCUCUGGGAGCACUGUGACUUGGAAAGACCCCAAAAAAGUAAUCUUUUUUUUUUUUAAUACUGAGAAUCCAACUCAGAACAUUGCGCUUGCCAGGCAGUCUGCCACGCAAUCUCGGUGCCAUUGAGCUACAUCCCGGCCUCAAGGGUAAUCUCUUUAUGUGGAAAUUCUGAGGUAGCAUCAUAUGAAGCGAGAGCUCCUAACUUGGAUCUGUGGAAUUCAUUCUUUUGAUGGAAGACCAUGCACUUUUCCCUCAAGGAGGGCUCACUACUAGUCAGGGAAUCCUACAGCCAGUCACACCACUCCGGUGGUCACUCCGGAGCUUCCAGUGGUUGAGAGCCUUGACCCCCAGGUCAGCCUCGGGAGAAAUAACUAUGACUACACAACAAUACCCAUAAUACCUAAGCCCUUCAAAAAUAGAGUGUUUCUGUUGCUGCUGUAUGACUCAGACUUUGUCCUCCAAGGAAAAAAACAGCUUAAAAGAGCAAAACAAUAAAUGAGAAGGGCAAAAUAGUAAAUUGAUUUAAACAAAGUCAGCUUCAAUUCUCUUCCAGAGAGGAGGAUACGGUGCAGGCUGCGUGGUAAAUCAUUUAUUCAUCCACAGUAUUUCUUGGGAUGCUGCGUGCAGCUGGCAAGAACAGGACUCAUUUCCGGUUCCAUACCGUAAAUCAGUUAGCAUGAUCUGGUUAUGCUUGGGCAAUAUUUUAAAACAUUCGAGCACAAAUUAAUAUAUUAUUACUUAGCUUUGCAUUGAAGCACAUGUGCCUAUUUUAAUGAAGAAACCCCUUCUCCAAUCAGCCCUGGGGCUUUCUCCAACACACUUUGCUUUUUUCAUGUUAGGUCUUUUUAUGGACCUGUAAGAAGCUUUAAUUAGAUAUACAGCACUGUACAAAGUGACAAGAUGGAACAUGCACACUUGCAUUAGAGUCUCUGUGAUUCAGAUCUCAAAAAACAACAUAAUGCCACUGAUAUACAGAAGGAGUUGUUUAUUGGAAGGAAACCAGGGAGGUGCAACAAAUUAGAUCAAGAUGUGAAAAUCAAGCAGACUCAUGAAAAAAAUUGCCAUUUUUACUUUGGAACUCUCUCCAAAGGAGCAUGUGUAACAAGAGAACAGUUUGAUGAUUUUAGUUUUCUUAAGAAUAUUUGGACUUGUUUUAUGGCCUAUCUUAAAGAAUGCCCUAUGUGUACUUGGAAAGAAUAUGUAUGUUGUAAAAAUAAAUGCUGACGAGGAUGCCGGGUGAAGAAACUCUACACUGCUGAUGGGAAUGCAAAUUAGUACAGACACUAUGGAAAUCAUUAUGGAGAUUCCUCAAAAAACCUAAAAAUAGAACUGCCAUAUGACGAAGCUAUACCACUCCUUGGUCUAGACCUAAAUGAACUAAAGCCAGCAUCCUCUAGGAAUACCUGCAUCCCUGUGUUUAUCAUGGUACAAUUCACAGUAGUCAAGAUGUGGAACGAACCAGCCUAGGUGUCCAUCAAGAGAUGAAUGGAUAAAGGAAAUGCAUUAUAUUUUAUGUAUACAUUAUACAUUACAAUGUGAAUAAUAUAUAAUGGAGUAUUAUUUAGCUGUAAAGAAGGGGAAGUAUGUCAUUUGCAAGAAAAUGGAUGGAACUGGAGAUCUUCAUAUUAAAAUAAGCCAGACUCAGAAAGACAUGUAUCACGUGUUCUCCGUAGUAUGUGGGAACAUAAAACAAAUGGUGUGAAAGUAGAAGGGAAACUAUUACUAGACAAGAGGAAAGAAAUAAGGGAAGGGGAAUGUAAGGGGGGCUAAUAGGAAAGAUGGAUCUGAUUAAAAUACAUGCGUGUAUGAAAAUACUGCCUUAAAACCCAAUGUUUUGUAAAAUUAAUAGACACUAAUACAAUAUAGUUUAAAAACAAGAAGUGCGCAUUCUGUUGUUACUGGAUGGGGUGAUCUGUAUCAGUUAGAUCCUGUUGGUGAAUGGGGUUGUUCAAGUUUUCUUUAAUCGUGGUGAUUUUCUGGUAGCUAUUCUAUCGAUUAUUGAGAGUAGGUAUAAAAAUCUCCAGAAAUUUGCCCUUCCCUUCAAACAAGGGUGAACCCUUGAACAGCAGAUGGGGAUUUCAUGCCAUGAUCAUGUGAUACAGCAGAAAGCUGUCUGAGGAUCUACUCUCAUCACGUGAGCCCUGCAGCAACAGUGAAUUCUCUACGGUUUGUGGGCAGAAGAGGAAAUUAGACAAACUCAAAGCAUGAGAAGAACCCAUGUACCGUUGCUUUGAAGAUGGAGGGCCCACACAGAUAGGACCAGAAUGAAGCCUCUAGAAGCUACAUGAUCCCCAGUCGACAGCUAAAAAGCAGGACCUCAGUCCUACAGCUGCAAAGAAUUGAAUUCUUCCAGCAACCUGACUGAGCUUGGUGGCAGAUUGUUUCCUGGAGCCUCAAGAUAACAGCCAUUAUGUGAUUUCAGCCUGGGGAGGCACUGGGCAGAGAACGUGGUCCGGGCAGCUGGACAUCUGCCCAACAGAACCAUAUGUUGCUAAGGCUAAGUUGCUGAGACUGUGGUCACUUGUUAGGUGGUGUUAGAAAAUGAAUACGGCUGUGUCAAGUUUUACUCCACCAUGGUUACAAGUCCUGCCUCCUUGCAGAGUUAAUAUUGAAAAAUAAAAUUCGAGAUUUCUGAAUUCUUUUAACAAAUGGAAAGAUCUUGUCAUUGGAGAUUUAAAUUUCUAAUGUCUGCUAGAACGGAACAGUGGUUCUCCAUAUACUCCUGCUAGCCAGGGUCUAGCUCCUCUGGUUCACCUGUCUUUCACACCAAGCCAACAUCCCCAAUUACAGGCCUGGCUGGGGAAUUUGUGAAUCUGUGAC
Molecule: long non-coding RNA, 3772 nt
Organism: Heterocephalus glaber (naked mole-rat)
Lineage: Eukaryota; Metazoa; Chordata; Mammalia; Rodentia; Bathyergidae
Source: Ensembl